Molecule: ribosomal RNA, 490 nt
Filed under: uncultured Gemmatimonadota bacterium
Lineage: Bacteria; Pseudomonadati; Gemmatimonadota
Description: bacterial SSU rRNA
Rfam family: Bacterial small subunit ribosomal RNA
Source: RNAcentral
GAGUUUGAUCGUGGCUCAGGACGAACGCUGGCGGCGUGCCUAACACAUGCAAGUCGAACGGGACCGCAAGGUUCAGUGGCGGACGGGUGCGUAACACGUGAGGAACAUGUCCAUCGGUGGGGGAUAGCCGGCCCAACGGCCGGGUAAUACCGCGUACGACCCGUUGGUGGCAUCACCGGGGGGUGAAAGCAGCAAUGCGCCGAUGGGGUGCCUCGCGGCCUAUCAGCUAGUUGGUGAGGUAACGGCUCACCAAGGCGACGACGGGUAGCUGGUCCGAGAGGAUGACCAGCCACAUUGGGACUGAGACACGGCCCAGACUCCUACGGGAGGCAGCAGUGGGGAAUAUUGCGCAAUGGGCGAAAGCCUGACGCAGCGACGCCGCGUGUGGGAUGAAGGUCUUCGGAUUGUAAACCACUGUCGGGAGGGACGAAGCUCUGACGGUACCUCCAAAGGAAGCACCGGCUAACUCUGUGCCAGCAGCCGCGGUAAC